ACGUAGGGGGCAAGCGUUAUCCGGAUUUACUGGGUGUAAAGGGAGCGUAGACGGCUGUGCAAGUCUGAAGUGAAAGGCAUGGGCUCAACCUGUGGACUGCUUUGGAAACUGUGCAGCUAGAGUGUCGGAGAGGUAAGUGGAAUUCCUAGUGUAGCGGUGAAAUGCGUAGAUAUUAGGAGGAACACCAGCGGCGAAGGCGGCUUACUGGACGAUGACUGACGUUGAGGCUCGAAAGCGUGGGGAGCAAACAG
Molecule: ribosomal RNA, 251 nt
Filed under: uncultured bacterium
Lineage: Bacteria
Description: partial 16S ribosomal RNA
Rfam family: Bacterial small subunit ribosomal RNA
Source: RNAcentral